AAUUUGGGUCAAUGGGGGCAACCCUGAUCCAGCCAGCCCUCGUGUGCGAUUAAUGCCUUAUGUAANUCAAGCACUUUUUGCAGGGANGAAAAGGCUCUUGCUAAUACCUGGAGCUGCUGACAGCACCUGCAUAAUCAGCACCGGCUAACGAAGUGCUAGCAGCCGCGGUAUUACGUAGUGUGCAAGCGUUAAUCGGAAUUACUGGGCGUAAAGCGUGCGCAGGCGGUUCGGCAAGAAGGAUGUGAAAUCCCAGGGCUUAACCUUGGAAGUGCAUUAUUAACUGCUGGGCUAGAGUAUGUCAGAGGGGGGUAGAAUUCCGCGUGUAGCAGUGAAAUGCGUAGAGAUGCGGAGGAAUACCGAUGGCGAAGGCAGCCCCCUGGGAUAAUACUGACGCUAAUGCACGAAAGCGUGGGGAGCAAAC
RNAcentral lists this ribosomal RNA (421 nucleotides) under uncultured bacterium. RNAcentral's name for it is "partial 16S ribosomal RNA". It matches the Rfam family "Bacterial small subunit ribosomal RNA", at positions 360 to 773 of the family's 1533-position model. The record is from RNAcentral.